Molecule: ribosomal RNA, 450 nt
Filed under: uncultured bacterium
Lineage: Bacteria
Description: partial 16S ribosomal RNA
Rfam family: Bacterial small subunit ribosomal RNA
Source: RNAcentral
GUGGGGAAUCUUCCGCAAUGGACGAAAGUCUGACGGAGCAACGCCGCGUGAACGAUGACGGCCUUCGGGUUGUAAAGUUCUGUUAUACGGGAAGAAUGGUACGACGGCCAAUACCCGUCGUAAGUGACGGUACCGUAAGAGAAAGCCACGGCUAACUACGUGCCAGCAGCCGCGGUAAUACGUAGGUGGCAAGCGUUGUCCGGAAUUAUUGGGCGUAAAGGGCGCGCAGGCGGCGUCGUAAGUCGGUCUUAAAAGUGAGGGGCUUAACCCCGUGAGGGGACCGAAACUGCGAUGCUAGAGUAUCGGAGAGGAAAGCGGAAUUCCUAGUGUAGCGGUGAAAUGCGUAGAUAUUAGGAGGAACACCAGUGGCGAAAGCGGCUUUCUGGACGACAACUGACGCUGAGGCGCGAAAGCCAGGGGAGCAAACGGGAUUAGAUACCCCGGUAGUCC